UUCACAAUUAAAGGACUACUCCACUUGAAGGAUAAAGUCAUAUGACAUAAUGAUUGACAAGCAUUACUGAGAAAAAGCUAUCUUUAUUGUUGUGAUGAAUUCAUAUCCACAACACAGACUUAUUAAAGUAAUUAUUGACUUGCUUUGAUGCAUUUGAUAAUUGCUAUACAUCUUUUACUUGACUCUUUUGUUCUAAAUAUACAAGAUAUUACGAAUUUUGUAUAAUCAUUUACUUACUUACUAGAGACCUGCGCUUGCAGAUCUCAACCAAUGAAUGAAGAUCUGACGAGCUGUAUUUCAAGCUGUAUUUUAAACUCUACUUGAUGAAGUCAGAGUCGUCUGAUCAUUUUCCAACGAUCACGAUCAUUGACAACAAUUGCAGGGUUUACCGACCAUAGAGAAUUGGAGUCCGUCGAUCAGAACUUAAGAGAUUCUAGUGAUACUGUAAUGUCUUUGUCAUCUCUUACAGUUUCUUACUUUCCUUCCUUUUGUCAUAGAAUCAACAGAGAAACAAUUUCUUUCUUUUUGCAUAAGAAAGUAUGAUAAUAUUAAAAUAGAUUGAGCUUUGAGUUACUAAUUAUAGAUUUUAACACUAUCAUAUGCUUCAGAUCCUAUUUUUCAGCGAACAAUCAUUACAUUAUUGAUUUGAUUCAUGGUAUUAUGAAAUUGAAAGUCAAGCCAUGUUUACCUGUGUGGUAGACUAUUCUGUUU
Molecule: long non-coding RNA, 711 nt
Filed under: Medicago truncatula (barrel medic)
Lineage: Eukaryota; Viridiplantae; Streptophyta; Magnoliopsida; Fabales; Fabaceae
Description: long non-coding RNA (MTRU_LNC005295)
Source: RNAcentral